RNAcentral lists this ribosomal RNA (253 nucleotides) under uncultured bacterium. RNAcentral's name for it is "partial 16S ribosomal RNA". It matches the Rfam family "Bacterial small subunit ribosomal RNA", at positions 524 to 776 of the family's 1533-position model. The record is from RNAcentral.
GACAGAGGUGCCGAGCGUUAGGCGGAAUCACUGGGCUUAAAGCGUGUGUAGGCGGGUCGUUAAGUGUCUUGUGAAAUCCCACCGCUCAACGGUGGAACCGCUGGGCAUACUGGCGAUCUUGAGCAGUCCAGGGGCGAGCGGAACAAGCGGUGGAGCGGUGAAAUGCGUAGAUAUCGCUUGGAACGCCGACGGUGAAAACAGCUCGCUGGGGACUCGCUGACGCUGAGGAGCGAAAGCCAGGGGAGCAAACGGG